UGCCAGCAGCCGCGGUAAUACGUAGGGGGCAAGCGUUAUUCGGAUUUACUGGGCAUAAAGCGCGCGUAGGCGGCUCGAUCAGUCGGAGGUGAAAGCCCGCAGCUCAACUGCGGAACUGCCCCCGAUACUGUCGAGCUUGAGUGCAGGAGGGGUGACCGGAACUCCAGGUGUAGCGGUGAAAUGCGUAGAUAUCUGGAGGAACACCAGAGGCGAAGGCGGGUCACUGGACUGCAACUGACGCGAGGUGCGAAAGCUAGGGGAGCGAACAGGAUUAGAUA
RNAcentral lists this ribosomal RNA (278 nucleotides) under uncultured bacterium. RNAcentral's name for it is "partial 16S ribosomal RNA". It matches the Rfam family "Bacterial small subunit ribosomal RNA", at positions 506 to 784 of the family's 1533-position model. The record is from RNAcentral.